AAAUCUCUCGCUCUCUCUCGAUUGCUUGGUUGCUCAAGGAAGAAUAUGCAUUCGUGUGCUCGUCAAAGGAAAAUCUAAUGAAGGAAGUGAUUUGGACUUUGACGUAAAAUGAUGGGGAUCAAUGCUUUGGACCGACUUCCAAAUAAUUUCUAUGGAAACUGGGUUUUGUCGACAAUGGCGACCUAGAGUUUUUGUUGGUGGAACUGAUCUCGGGACCUUCUUCACUUUGAGAUCGAUGGAAGCAGAUGGACCUACGUGUGUACUAAAUUAUCUAUCAUACAUAUGAUGAAAUUCUUUUAUCUUUUUGGUUAAUCUCAAUAGAAUAAUUUGAGU
Long non-coding RNA from Mangifera indica (mango), 333 nucleotides. RefSeq lists it as uncharacterized. Lineage: Eukaryota; Viridiplantae; Streptophyta; Magnoliopsida; Sapindales; Anacardiaceae. The record is from RefSeq and is a predicted model, not a curated record. The transcript has 4 exons.